This 241-nucleotide non-coding RNA is filed under the name Paenibacillus sp. RNAcentral's name for it is "T-box sequence". It matches the Rfam family "T-box leader". From Rfam's summary of the family: Uncharged tRNA acts as the effector for transcription antitermination of genes in the T-box leader family. T-boxes are found upstream of many aminoacyl-tRNA synthetase genes and some amino acid biosynthetic genes usually in Gram-positive bacteria. Lineage: Bacteria; Bacillati; Bacillota; Bacilli; Caryophanales; Paenibacillaceae. The record is from RNAcentral.
ACAAAUGCUUUGAUGGAGAAAAGUAGUUCAAUACCUCACUACAGGGAGGAAACGCCGGAGAUUGAGAGCGUUUCUAGAGAAAAGGGUUGAUCGAAGUUCACUCCGGAGCAGUCCCUUGAAACCAUUGUUGGCAAGUAGAGGUGUACCGGUGUUAACCGUUAAAUAUUUAAGUGAGAACAUUUCUGUUUGUUGUACAGAAUAGUUCUAAUUUAGGGUGGUACCGCGGCUCCUCGUCCCUUUU